UACGGAGGGUGCAAGCGUUGCUCGGAAUUAUUGGGCGUAAAGGGUAGGUAGGUGGUCUCAUUUGUCUGGGGUGAAAGCCCAGGGCUUAACCCUGGAAGUGCCCCGGAAACGGUGAGACUGGAGUCCUGGAGAGGGUCGUGGAAUUCCCGGUGUAGCGGUGAAAUGCGUAGAGAUCGGGAGGAACACCAGAGGCGAAGGCGGCGACCUGGACAGGUACUGACACUCAACUACGAAAGCGUGGGGAGCAAACAGG
Molecule: ribosomal RNA, 253 nt
Filed under: uncultured bacterium
Lineage: Bacteria
Description: partial 16S ribosomal RNA
Rfam family: Bacterial small subunit ribosomal RNA
Source: RNAcentral